Molecule: long non-coding RNA, 351 nt
Filed under: Bos mutus (wild yak)
Lineage: Eukaryota; Metazoa; Chordata; Mammalia; Artiodactyla; Bovidae
Description: lncRNA (ENSBMUG00000011735.1)
Source: RNAcentral
GGAGUCCUCCCACAGAGGCAACUUGAGCCUCAACUUGGCAGAAUAUGAAACAGCCUUGGCCAUCCCUUUCUCUGCAAGUUUCUCUUUAAUUGCAGAAAUCUGGGUGGCCUUCGCACGAGUUGUUUGUACAGCCACGGAAAAGAGAUAAGUUUGGUAACCUUGGAAAACCCGAUCUCUUUUUUUUCCCAGCCUCCUGAGAAGCAAGGUCCAGAGGAACAAACACUGUGCGUGGGAAACCAGAGAGGGGCUCUGGAGGAGGGGACGGAAGAGGCCAGAAACGGGGUGGCUUUUCUGAAGAGCCAAGACAUAACCAUUUGGCAGUAAAUAGGACUUGAAAGCAAAGAAUCAGAC